This is an RNA transcript of Ipomoea nil (Japanese morning glory), 1122 nucleotides long. RefSeq lists it as uncharacterized. NCBI's taxonomy places the organism in Eukaryota, Viridiplantae, Streptophyta, Magnoliopsida, Solanales, Convolvulaceae. The record is from RefSeq and is a predicted model, not a curated record. The transcript has 7 exons.
UUCUCCCACAUCGGUGGGAGAAGUGGCAGGGGGAGCCUUGAGGCUCCUAUAAAAGGGGCCUCAAGGCUCAGAAAAAUUAUCGCUCGGAUUGCUUGGGUAAGCGAUGAGCAAACAACGAGUCUCUUUAGUUGAGGUCUGUUGUUUCAAGUAAUUUUUUCAUAGUGUGGGGGCAUGUUUACUGAAACAACUCCCCCAAAGGUAAACUCUGCUCUUAGGGUUUACGAUUUCAGCGGUUUGAUCGUCCGGCUCUUAGUGGGGUUUAUAAUUUUAGCAGUUUGAUCAACCCGUCGAAUCUGUGCCGUCGUCUGCCCUGGUUCCCGGCACCGUCGAAUCUGCGCCGUCGUCUGCCCUGGUUCCCGGCCGUAGCCUGCGUCUUGACUCAUUGACUUUGGGUAUCUUCACCUUCACUCCCCAAUCCAUAAUCUUCCUGAAUCAAGAUUUUCAGUUAAGUGGAACAACUGUGGAUGCUGUGGCUCCCAAGAUUUUCCGCUAGGGCUUCAAAGAAUUGGAAAAUUGAGAUGCUUUAUGAUGGCGCGUGCCCACUUUGUACGCGUGAGGUUUGCAGGCAAUGUCUCAAGAGCGUUAGAUUUUGUGAUGGAAAGUGAAAGCACAUUCCUGAUAGAUCCAACCGGUGGAGAAGAUGGUGAACCAACAGGGAUUUUCAAAGGAGUUGUUACCUCUGCAUGACGGAGGUUUUGCCAUUUCAUUGUUGCCCAGGGCAGAGGGGAAGCCCUACCAAAUUAUAAUAUUUAGGAACUUUGAAAUUUCCUUAUAGGAAUGCUUUGCAUACUCAAGAUCAUGUGACAGCUUGUUCUGAGCCUACACAUGCUGGGUCCAAAAGGCCACGAUUGCAGGCUUGUAAUAUUUUCUCCCAGAACUCAAAACGGAUUGCAGGCUUGUAAUAUUUUCUCCCAGAACUCAAAACGGUAUGAUAAACAUUUCAAUUGAACAUUGUGGAUAAUAGAUUGUUUUUACAUGUCAAAUAUUUUGCAGUAACCUACAUGCUUGACUAUCCAUUUGUCCAUUUUCAUCAAUAACUUUAUCUUUGUCCAAACAUGUUAAUUGUGUACUGAUUAGUUGAGGAAUAACGUUGGUUGUAUCUAUAGAUUCAAACUUAUAGAA